Molecule: ribosomal RNA, 497 nt
Filed under: uncultured bacterium
Lineage: Bacteria
Description: partial 16S ribosomal RNA
Rfam family: Bacterial small subunit ribosomal RNA
Source: RNAcentral
GACGAACGCUGGCGGCGUGCCUAAUACAUGCAAGUAGAACGCUGAAACUUGGUGCUUGCACCGAGCGGAUGAGUUGCGAACGGGUGAGUAACGCGUAGGUAACCUGCCUGGUAGCGGGGGAUAACUAUUGGAAACGAUAGCUAAUACCGCAUAAGAGUAGAUGUUGCAUGACAUUUGCUUAAAAGGUGCAAUUGCACCACUACCAGAUGGACCUGCGUUGUACUAGCUAGUUGGUGGGGUAACGGCUCACCAAGGCGACGAUACAUAGCCGACCUGAGAGGGUGAUCGGCCACACUGGGACUGAGACACGGCCCAGACUCCUACGGGAGGCAGCAGUAGGGAAUCUUCGGCAAUGGACGGAAGUCUGACCGAGCAACGCCGCGUGAGUGAAGAAGGUUUUCGGAUCGUAAAGCUCUGUUGUAAGAGAAGAACGAGUGUGAGAGUGGAAAGUUCACACUGUGACGGUAUCUUACCAGAAAGGGACGGCUAACUACGUG